Molecule: ribosomal RNA, 227 nt
Filed under: uncultured bacterium
Lineage: Bacteria
Description: partial 16S ribosomal RNA
Rfam family: Bacterial small subunit ribosomal RNA
Source: RNAcentral
CGUAACACGUGAGGAACAUGACCUUCGGCGGGGGAUAGCCGGCCCAACGGCCGGGUAAUACCGCGUACGACCAUUUGGGGACAUCCCUAGGUGGUGAAAGCAGCAAUGCGCCGAUGGAGUGCCUCGCGGCCUAUCAGCUAGUUGGUGGGGUAACGGCUCACCAAGGCAACGACGGGUAGCUGGUCUGAGAGGAUGGCCAGCCACAUUGGGACUGAGACACGGCCCAG